GAUGAACGCUGGCGGCGUGCCUAACACAUGCAAGUCGAACGAAGCUUGACGGAUGAUUUCUUCGGAAUGAAACCAGAUAUGACUUAGUGGCGGACGGGUGAGUAACACGUGAGCAACCUGCCUUUCAGAGGGGGAUAACGGCUGGAAACGGUCGCUAAUACCGCAUGAUGUGUUCGGAUGGCAUCAUCUGAACAUCAAAGAUUUAUCGCUGAAAGAUGGGCUCGCGUCUGAUUAGAUAGUUGGUGGGGUAACGGCCUACCAAGUCUACGAUCAGUAGCCGGACUGAGAGGUUGAACGGCCACAUUGGGACUGAGAUACGGCCCAGUCUCCUACGGGAGGCAGCAGUGGGGAAUAUUGCACAAUGGGGGAAACCCUGAUGCAGCAACGCCGCGUGAAGGAUGACGGUUUUCGGAUUGUAAACUUCUUUUCUUAGUGCCGAAGACAGUGACGGUAGCUAAGGAAUAAGCAUCGGCUAACUACGUG
This 483-nucleotide ribosomal RNA is filed under the name uncultured bacterium. Its description in RNAcentral is "partial 16S ribosomal RNA". It matches the Rfam family "Bacterial small subunit ribosomal RNA", at positions 28 to 507 of the family's 1533-position model. The record is from RNAcentral.